RNAcentral lists this ribosomal RNA (2927 nucleotides) under Escherichia coli. RNAcentral's name for it is "23S ribosomal RNA". It matches the Rfam family "Bacterial large subunit ribosomal RNA". The record is from RNAcentral. Lineage: Bacteria; Pseudomonadati; Pseudomonadota; Gammaproteobacteria; Enterobacterales; Enterobacteriaceae.
GGGUUGUGAGGUUAAGCGACUAAGCGUACACGGUGGAUGCCCUGGCAGUCAGAGGCGAUGAAGGACGUGCUAAUCUGCGAUAAGCGUCGGUAAGGUGAUAUGAACCGUUAUAACCGGCGAUUUCCGAAUGGGGAAACCCAGUGUGAUUCGUCACACUAUCAUUAACUGAAUCCAUAGGUUAAUGAGGCGAACCGGGGGAACUGAAACAUCUAAGUACCCCGAGGAAAAGAAAUCAACCGAGAUUCCCCCAGUAGCGGCGAGCGAACGGGGAGGAGCCCAGAGCCUGAAUCAGUGUGUGUGUUAGUGGAAGCGUCUGGAAAGGCGCGCGAUACAGGGUGACAGCCCCGUACACAAAAAUGCACAUGCUGUGAGCUCGAUGAGUAGGGCGGGACACGUGGUAUCCUGUCUGAAUAUGGGGGACCAUCCUCCAAGGCUAAAUACUCCUGACUGACCGAUAGUGAACCAGUACCGUGAGGGAAAGGCGAAAAGAACCCCGGCGAGGGGAGUGAAAAAGAACCUGAAACCGUGUACGUACAAGCAGUGGGAGCCUCUUAAUGGGGUGACUGCGUACCUUUUGUAUAAUGGGUCAGCGACUUAUAUUCUGUAGCAAGGUUAACCGAAUAGGGGAGCCGAAGGGAAACCGAGUCUUAACUGGGCGUUAAGUUGCAGGGUAUAGACCCGAAACCCGGUGAUCUAGCCAUGGGCAGGUUGAAGGUUGGGUAACACUAACUGGAGGACCGAACCGACUAAUGUUGAAAAAUUAGCGGAUGACUUGUGGCUGGGGGUGAAAGGCCAAUCAAACCGGGAGAUAGCUGGUUCUCCCCGAAAGCUAUUUAGGUAGCGCCUCGUGAAUUCAUCUCCGGGGGUAGAGCACUGUUUCGGCAAGGGGGUCAUCCCGACUUACCAACCCGAUGCAAACUGCGAAUACCGGAGAAUGUUAUCACGGGAGACACACGGCGGGUGCUAACGUCCGUCGUGAAGAGGGAAACAACCCAGACCGCCAGCUAAGGUCCCAAAGUCAUGGUUAAGUGGGAAACGAUGUGGGAAGGCCCAGACAGCCGGGAUGUUGGCUUAGAAGCAGCCAUCAUUUAAAGAAAGCGUAAUAGCUCACUGGUCGAGUCGGCCUGCGCGGAAGAUGUAACGGGGCUAAACCAUGCACCGAAGCUGCGGCAGCGACACUAUGUGUUGUUGGGUAGGGGAGCGUUCUGUAAGCCUGCGAAGGUGUACUGUGAGGUAUGCUGGAGGUAUCAGAAGUGCGAAUGCUGACAUAAGUAACGAUAAAGCGGGUGAAAAGCCCGCUCGCCGGAAGACCAAGGGUUCCUGUCCAACGUUAAUCGGGGCAGGGUGAGUCGACCCCUAAGGCGAGGCCGAAAGGCGUAGUCGAUGGGAAACAGGUUAAUAUUCCUGUACUUGGUGUUACUGCGAAGGGGGGACGGAGAAGGCUAUGUUGGCCGGGCGACGGUUGUCCCGGUUUAAGCGUGUAGGCUGGUUUUCUAGGCAAAUCCGGAAAAUCAAGGCUGAGGCGUGAUGACGAGGCACUACGGUGCUGAAGCAACAAAUGCCCUGCUUCCGGGAAAAGCCUCUAAGCAUCAGGUAACAUCAAAUCGUACCCCAAACCGACACAGGUGGUCAGGUAGAGAAUACCAAGGCGCUUGAGAGAACUCGGGUGAAGGAACUAGGCAAAAUGGUGCCGUAACUUCGGGAGAAGGCACGCUGAUAUGUAGGUGAAGUCCCUCGCGGAUGGAGCUGAAAUCAGUCGAAGAUACCAGCUGGCUGCAACUGUUUAUUAAAAACACAGCACUGUGCAAACACGAAAGUGGACGUAUACGGUGUGACGCCUGCCCGGUGCCGGAAGGUUAAUUGAUGGGGUUAGCGCAAGCGAAGCUCUUGAUCGAAGCCCCGGUAAACGGCGGCCGUAACUAUAACGGUCCUAAGGUAGCGAAAUUCCUUGUCGGGUAAGUUCCGACCUGCACGAAUGGCGUAAUGAUGGCCGGGCUGUCUCCACCCGAGACUCAGUGAAAUUGAACUCGCUGUGAAGAUGCAGUGUACCCGCGGCAAGACGGAAAGACCCCGUGAACCUUUACUAUAGCUUGACACUGAACAUUGAGCCUUGAUGUGUAGGAUAGGUGGGAGGCUUUGAAGUGUGGACGCCAGUCUGCAUGGAGCCGACCUUGAAAUACCACCCUUUAAUGUUUGAUGUUCUAACGUUGGCCCCUGAUCGGGGUUGCGGACAGUGUCUGGUGGGUAGUUUGACUGGGGCGGUCUCCUCCUAAAGAGUAACGGAGGAGCACGAAGGUUGGCUAAUCCUGGUCGGACAUCAGGAGGUUAGUGCAAUGGCAUAAGCCAGCUUGACUGCGAGCGUGACGGCGCGAGCAGGUGCGAAAGCAGGUCAUAGUGAUCCGGUGGUUCUGAAUGGAAGGGCCAUCGCUCAACGGAUAAAAGGUACUCCGGGGAUAACAGGCUGAUACCGCCCAAGAGUUCAUAUCGACGGCGGUGUUUGGCACCUCGAUGUCGGCUCAUCACAUCCUGGGGCUGAAGUAGGUCCCAAGGGUAUGGCUGUUCGCCAUUUAAAGUGGUACGCGAGCUGGGUUUAGAACGUCGUGAGACAGUUCGGUCCCUAUCUGCCGUGGGCGCUGGAGAACUGAGGGGGGCUGCUCCUAGUACGAGAGGACCGGAGUGGACGCAUCACUGGUGUUCGGGUUGUCAUGCCAAUGGCACUGCCCGGUAGCUAAAUGCGGAAGAGAUAAGUGCUGAAAGCAUCUAAGCACGAAACUUGCCCCGAGAUGAGUUCUCCCUGACUCCCUGAGAGUCCUGAAGGAACGUUGAAGACGACGACGUUGAUAGGCCGGGUGUGUAAGCGCAGCGAUGCGUUGAGCUAACCGGUACUAAUGAACCGUGAGGCUUAACCUUACAACGCCGAAGCUGUU